RNAcentral lists this long non-coding RNA (5480 nucleotides) under Homo sapiens (human). Its description in RNAcentral is "HSALNT0109507". The stretch from base 3592 to 3764 matches the Rfam family "U4 spliceosomal RNA". Lineage: Eukaryota; Metazoa; Chordata; Mammalia; Primates; Hominidae. The record is from RNAcentral.
AAGAGAAUGAGUUCUUUUUGAACUUGUACAAAUAACUGUAUUGCCAUAAAAAUAAGAACAUUCAUGAGUAGUUUCUGAAUUCUGGAGGGAUCAUGUCGAGAGAAAAAGUAAAUAUUUCAAUUUUAUUCACAAGAGUAUACUUAUACUUUACCAUAUAGCUGUGAUCUAUAGAUAGCUUAAAAGGAAAAAUGUUUCCUGGAAAACCAAAGAACCAGCAAAAUUUCAAAUAAAAAACUCAGAAAAAUCCAUAAUUCUUCUUUUUAUUUUAUUUUAUUUUUUUAUUAUACUUUAAGUUCUAGGGUACAUGUGCACAAUGUACAGUUUUGAUACAUAGGUAUACAUGUGCCAUGUUGGUUUGCUGCACCCAUCAACUCGUCAUUUACAUUACAUUAGGUAUUUCUCCUAGUGCUAUCCCUCCCCCAGCACCCCCCACCCCCGACAGGCCCUGGUGUGUGAUGUUCCCCGUCCUGUGUCCAAGUGAUCUCAUUGUUCAAUUUCCACCUAUGAGUGAGAACAUGCAGUGUUUGGUUUUCUGUCCUUGUGAUAGUUUGCUGAGAAUGAUGGUUUCGAGCUUCAUCCAUGUCCCUGCAAAUGACGUGAAUUCAUCCUUUUUUGUGGCCGCAUAGUAUUCCAUGGUGUAUAUGUGCCACAUUUUCUUAAUCUAGUCUAUCAUUGAUGGACAUUUAGGUUGGUUCCAAGUCUUUGCUAUUGUGAAUAGCUCACGGCAGCUUUGAACUUCUGGGCUCAAGUGAUCCUUCUGCCUCAGACUUCUGAGUAUCAGGACUACAAGUGCAUCACUUUUUUUUUUUGACAAUACUUCUCAUAUAACAUAUCAAACAAGACGGAUUAACAUGCUCUUUUAAAAUUGUAAAUGUUCAGUGUUUUCCGGGGGCUGAACUGGAAAGUCCUGAAGUUAAUUUCAGGUCAAAAAAGACUUAAUUUAGGAUUUAAUUUUGGGAAGUUUGUCCAAAAUGUUAAAAGUUGAAAAACAUUUAUUAUAGUUGUUUAUUUAAUCAGAGUGACACUAUCAGAUUUUUAUGGCAAAUAUAGAAGUUUAUGUUACAGGUAGUUAGGCAGACAGGGCUUUCCCACUCACUAGGAAUUUUGGGUGAUGGUUUGACAAUUAUCACAUUGUCUGUCUAAAAGUGAUAAACUGGCAGCUGGCACCAGGGAGAGGCCAUUUUCUGAUGGUUUACACCUGUUGUGCUAAAGUAUUAAUUGAAUGCAAGUGCCACAGAGAAGCAACUUCCUGGGCAUGCACAUUAAAAGACAAAUGGUGGAUUAUGACCUUUCAAGGGUACGACACCAGAAAAAGGAGGAAACCCUGAGAUGGGCAUGCAUAAAACUUCCUAAGCACACUGCAUGUGCUCACUUUCCAAGGCUAAAUAGGGCACUGUGCAUGAGGGCAGCCCCCGCUAAGGGAAGACUCAUGGGAAAGGACAGCCUGUAAAAUCCUAGGAUCACAGAUAAACAGGGCACUUGUCCUUCAAGUUGCCCUCUUGGGUCUCUUCCAAGCGUACUUUCCUUUCUUUCCUGUUCUAAAGCUUUUUAAAACAAAACAUCCACACCUUGCUCUCUUUUUUUGCCUUAUGGCCUUCAGUCGAAUUCUUUCUUCUAAGGAGGCAAGAAUUGAGGUUGCUGCAGACCCAUAUGGAUUUACCACCAGUAACACAGAUACCUUCCACCAGUAAUAGUUACAGAGUUGUGAGCAAAAACCUCAUUCUUUUGAUAUUGAGAAGACUCACUUUUUAAACAAAUAUCAAAGAACUGAUAAAAGACAGCACAAAGCACAAGAAAUUAUCUUGAUAAAACACAAAAUCUUUUUUUCCUAGCCAAUUACCUAAAAGGUAAAGAAAAACCUUUCACUAUUUUCUAUUAAGAGCAGAUCAAUAUUCCAAGAAAACCUUGUUUUAACAUACAGAACCAAAUUCUAGUUUUGCAUCAGUGUACUUUUGAUAUUAAUUCUCAUUUUUUAGAAAAAACUUAGAACUUUUUUCAUAAUCUUAGCCAGUUUGAUUGCACAUAAAAAUUCUUUCACAAGAUUCAUUUUUCACAAAUGUUUUACAACUUUCUUAUCCAUUCAAUUUUUGCCCUAUAUUUUCUUAUUUUUCAUCUCGAAACAACUACUCUACUUUAUGACAAAAAUUACUCUCUUUUGUUGGGUGUGGUGCCUCACUCCUGUAAUCCCAGCACUUUGGGAGGCUGAGAUCACUUGAGGUCAAAAGUUUGAGACCAGCCUGGCCAACAUGGUGAAACUCCAUUUCUACUAAAAAAAACAAAAACAAAAAAAACAAAAAACAAAAUCAGCCAGGCAUGGUGGCACACUCCUGUAGUCUCAGCUACUCAGGAGGCGAGGCAGGAGAAUCACUUGAACCCAGGAGGCGGAGGCUUCAGUGAGCCAAGAUCAUGUCACUGUACUCCAGCUGGGUGAGAGAGUGAAACUCCAUCUCAAAAAAAAAAAAAAAAAAAAAGAAAAGAAAUAUUAAAUCUGCCAACUUUUUCUCCUGGUUACUCUCCCACCAUGAAGUCAAAAAGAAAGCUGGAUAAAGUAUUUAUGAAGGACAAAUCAAGUGAAUUGGCUUCUUUUUCAGAGUUAUCCAUGCUAACUCUAGGCAUAGGGAAUGUAUUCUUGGCCCUGGAGUCAGUUAUCUAGUUAAGAAACAAAGCUAAGUUUAAAGACCACCUAUCAAACUAAACCAGUCUCCAAAAUACACCUUUAUGGGAAUUUAGCUAGCUAUUUUGAAAUUCUUUGUAAGAAAUUUACAACUAUAAAAGAAAUCUCCCUUUGUAGGACUGUGUCCCUCUCUGCACCAGGAAGAGAGAGAGAGCUAGAAAGGAGAGAAUGUCACUAGAAACGCUUACAAUGGAAAAGGCAUUGGCUUAAGUUUAUAUAACAAGUCUCACCUUUGACAAUUUUGUCUUAACAAGGUUUCCUACUUAGAUCUUUGUGCCGGCAAAUAAUGGUGUUUAAGUUCUGUGCCUUUAAGAUGUAAAUUUCCUACCUUGUUUCACCUAAGAGUCAUCCCUUUGGAAGUAAAAAUUUUGGGUUGUUGGGAUAGCGAUUGCUUAGGGCAAUGGAAGAUGUAACUAAAAGACUUACAGUCUGAAAGGGGAAGGUAAACUAUUUGGAAACUGGGAAAAUGAAAAGUUUUAAUGAAGGCUAUAUGAUCUGCUUCUGCCUGUAUUUUUAUAUAUGUCUGUAUGUGUGUGUAUGUUGUAUUUGUGUGAUAUUUUUCCACCUCAGAUGAUAUUGCCAAAAUUUAUAAAGAGUUCUAUUCAGCUUAAAGUAAAAAAAGUGCUAAUAUAAAAUAUUCUCUCACAAAAAUAAAAACUAACUCAAAUGGCUUUUAGUUCUUGUGAGCUGAGAUAACCUUCAGUAAGUAAAGCUAGUUUUUAAAAAUGUUGAUAAAAUAAAAACAGAAAUGUCUUCAAAAUUGUCAGCAUUUACAUUAUAAGUGUGCAUUUUUAAACCUAGAUUUAAUAUCAAAUGAGCUUGUUAUCUCCUAGAUAUAUGAGAUCAUAAAGCUAUAAAUCCUGUCCUUGGCUAGUUUUAAGGAGCAAUUCAAGCAUAGUUAUUAUGAAUGAGUCAUUAGCUUUGCACAGUGGCAGUAGUGUAGCUAGUGAGGUUUAUCCGAGGUGCAGUUAUUGCUAAUUAAAAACUUUUUGUCACCAUUCCAAGAUGGCUGAAUAGGAACAGCUCUGGUCUACAGCUCCCAGCAAGAUCGAUGAAGAAGAUGGGUGAUUUCUGCAUUUCCAACUGAGGUACCUGGUUCAUCUCAUUGGGACUGGUUGGAUAGUGGGUGUAGCCCAUGGAGGGUGAGCCAAAGCAGGGUGGGGCAUCGCCUACCUGGGAAGUGCAAGGGGUCAGGGGAUUACCAUUUCCUAGCCAAGGGAACCCGUGACAGACUGUACCUGGGAAAACGGGACACUCCUGCACAAAUACUGCACUUUUCCUAUGGUCUUAGCAACCAGCAGACCAGGAGAUUCUUUCCUGUGCCUGGCUCAGUGGGUCCCAUGCCCAUGGAGGCUUGCUCACUGCUAGUGCAGCAGUCUGAGAUCAACUUGUGAGGCUGCAGCCUGGCGGAGGGAGGCAUGUCUGCCAUUACUGAGGCUUGAGCAGGUAAACAAAGCGGCCAGGAAGCUUGAACUAGAUGGAGCCCACCGCAGCUCAGCAAGGCCUACUGCCUCUAUAGACUCUACAUCCAUGGGCAGGGCAUACCUGAACAAAAGGCAGCAGAAACUUCUGCAGACUUAAACGCCCCUGUGUGACAGCUCUGAAGAGAGCAGUGGUUCUCCCAGCAUGGUGUUUGAGCUUUGGGAACAGACAGACUGCCUCCUCAAGUGGGUCCCUGACCCCAUUGUAGCCUAACUGGGAAACACUUCCCAGUAGGGGCCGACAGACACCUCAUACAGGUGGGUGCCCCUCUGGGAUGAAGCUUCCAGAGGAAGGAUCAGGCAGCAAUAUUUGCUGUUCUGCAGCCUCCGCUGGUGAUACCCAGGCAAACAAGGUCUGGAGUGGACUACCAGCAAACUCCAACAGACCUGCAGCUGAGGGACCUGACUGUUAGAAGAAAAACUAACAAACAGAAAGGAAUAGUAUCAACAUCAACAAAAAGGACAUCUGCAACAAAACCCCAUGUGUAGAUCACCAACAUCAAAGACCAAAAGUAGAUAAAACCACAAAUAUGGGGAGAAACCAGAGCAGAAAAGCUGAAAAUUCUAAAAACCGAGUGCCUCUUCUCCUCCAAAGGAUCAUAGCUCCUCGCCAGCAGUGGAACAAAGCUGGAUGGGGAAUGAUUUUGAUGAGUUGACAGAAGUAGGCUUCAGAAGGUCGGUAAUAACACACUUCUCCAAACUAAAGGAGCAUGUUCUAACUGUCGCAAGGAAGGUAAAAACCUUGAAAAAAGGUUAGACUAAUGGCUAACUAGAAUAAACAGUGUAGAGAUAACCUUAAAUUACCUGAUGGAGCUGAUAACCAUGGCAUGAGAACUUCGUGACACAUGCACAAGCUUCAAUAGCCAAUUCAAUCAAGUGGAAGAAAGGAUAUCAGUGAUUGCGGGUCAAAUUAAUGAAAAAAGCGAGAAGACAAGUUUAGAGAAAAAAGAGUAAAAAGAAAUGAACAAAGCCCCAAGAAAUAUGGGACUAUGUGAAAAGACCAAACCUAUGUUUGAUUGGUGUACCUGAAAGUGAUGGGAAGAAUGGAACCAAGUUGGAAAACAUUCUGCAGGAUAUUAUCCAGAACUUCCCCAACCUAGCAACGCAGGCCAACAUUCAAAUUCAGGAAACACACAGAAGUCCACAAAGAUAGUCCUCGAAAACAGCAACUCCAAGACACAUAAUUGUCAGAUUCACCAAGGGUGAAAUGAAGGAAAAAAUGUUAAGGUCAGUGAGAGAGAAAGGUCGGGUUACCCACAAAGGGAGGCCCAGCAGCCUAACAGCAGAUCUCUUGGCAGAAACUCUACAAGCCAGAAGAGAGUGGG